UUACUGACCUGUCAGACGCUUCACCCAGAGCCAGACUCAGUCAUUUCACUGAGGUUGUGCUGACCCCUGCAAAUUCCCCAAAUGUGGAAAUACUGACUGAAUAAUUUCUGCUGGUGGGGGACCAUGUUGGUGAACUUCCCUG
Molecule: small nuclear RNA, 142 nt
Filed under: Salarias fasciatus (jewelled blenny)
Lineage: Eukaryota; Metazoa; Chordata; Actinopteri; Blenniiformes; Blenniidae
Description: U1 spliceosomal RNA (ENSSFAG00005007804.1)
Rfam family: U1 spliceosomal RNA
About the family: U1 is a small nuclear RNA (snRNA) component of the spliceosome (involved in pre-mRNA splicing).
Source: RNAcentral